Non-coding RNA from Pelobates cultripes (western spadefoot toad), 89 nucleotides. The record is from the annotation of a GenBank genome assembly. NCBI's taxonomy places the organism in Eukaryota, Metazoa, Chordata, Amphibia, Anura, Pelobatidae.
UUGUCCCUAUGAUGUCAGCACUGGGCUCUGAAACUGCUGAGCGAUAACUGUGCCCCACUGUCUUGACAUGCAGUGGGACUGAGGGACCA